CCUACGGGAGGCAGCAGUGAGGAAUAUAGGUCAAUGGGCGCGAGCCUGAACCAGCCAAGUAGCGUGAAGGAUGACUGCCCUACGGGUUGUACACUUCUUUUAUAAAGGAAUAAAGUUAGGCACGUGUGCCUUUUUGUAUGUACUUUAUGAUUAAGUAUCGGAUAACUCCGUGCCAGCAGCCGCGGUAAUACGGAGGAUCCGAGCGUUGUCCGUAUUUAUUGGGUUUAAAGGGAGCGUAGAUGGGUUGUUAAGUCAGUUAUGAAAGUUUGCGGCUCAACCGUAAAAUUGCAAUUGAUACUGGCAGUCGUGAGUACAGUUGAGGUAGGCGGAAUUCGUGGUGUAGCGGUGAAAUGCUUAGAUAUCACGAAGAACUCCGAUUGCGAAGGCAGCUUACUAAACUGCCACUGACAUUGAUGCUCGAAAGUGUGGGUAUCAAACAGGAUUAGAUACCCGAGUAGUC
Molecule: ribosomal RNA, 460 nt
Filed under: uncultured bacterium
Lineage: Bacteria
Description: partial 16S ribosomal RNA
Rfam family: Bacterial small subunit ribosomal RNA
Source: RNAcentral